AUUGUUUUCGAGGUCUCUCGUAGACGGCUGUGGCUUCAAGCCAUCAACAAAGCUGACUGGACUGGGAAGAUCAUUUCAACUCACGGAUUUGCAGCAAACACACAGUAUAUAGAAAACAUUAUUACAGAAGAAGGUCAGACAGGUUUUGAAGACACGAGGUCCUCGUGGUGGCGUAGUGACUCAAUCUGGGUGGCGGAGGACGAAUCUCAGUUGCCUCCGCGUCUGAGAAUGUCAAUCUGUGCAUCUUAUCAUGUGACUUGUUGAGCGCGUUACCACGGAGAUGUAGCGCGUGUGGAGGCCCACGCUAUUUUCCACGGCAUCCAUGCACAACUCACCACGUGCCCCACCGAGAGCGAACCACAUUAUGCCGACCACGAGGAGGUUACCCCAUGUGACUCUACCCUCCCUAGCAACCGAGCCAAUUUGGUUGCUUAGGAGACCUGACUGGAGUCACUCUGGAUUCGAACUCAAGAUCCAGGGGUGGUAGUCAGUGUCAGUACUCGCUGAGCUACCCAGGCCCCCUGCUUACUACAUUCUUAAUACUGCACAGUAUAUAGAGCAUACUGUCUGCUAUUUCAAAAAUAGUACGUUGAAACGGUAAAGUAAAACAGAAAAAAAGAAAGAGGUUAUGUUUGUAACAGAAUACUAGCUUACUGAAUACUGUGCAGCAUAUACUGUAUACAAGGGCGUAGAUUUGGCUUGAACAUUGGGUGGGUUGCAGCGUGAAGCAUUUACCCAUGUUUCCAUUGAUCAUGGUAUAAAUAAUGCUGGGGAGUUGUAGUACUUGCUGUAGAAUCUACGUCCCUGACUGUAUACUGCCUACUAUACCAUUUAAAAAAAAAUGGUGAAAUGUAAGCAUUAUGCAAAGAUAAAUGUUUCAAACAGCAAUUUGCUACGUUGUUGUCACAUGACCUCAUAAUGUUGCAUGUGAGUGAUGUCCAGUUAUAUUCUUGGAAGUUGUUUAUUUUGCAUUUGAAAUUACAUUUUGUGUAAAAAAAUAAAUAAAAUUAAAUAAAACAAAAACUCAACUUUUUGUCAGUCUAAUCAAAUAAUGGGCCAAAAAAACCAACAAAAAAAAAAACAAAUAGAUA
Long non-coding RNA from Myxocyprinus asiaticus (Chinese sucker), 1091 nucleotides. RefSeq lists it as uncharacterized. The record is from RefSeq and is a predicted model, not a curated record. The transcript has 3 exons. Lineage: Eukaryota; Metazoa; Chordata; Actinopteri; Cypriniformes; Catostomidae.